CUGGGAAAUAGGAAGUGGAGUCAACAAGGCCAGGAGAGAGCAUGCUGGGAAAGAGGGAGUGAGGGCAACAAGGCCAGGAGAGAGCAUGCUGGGAAAGAGGAAGUGAGGGCAACAAGGCCAGGAGAGAGCAUGCUGGGAAAGAGGAAGUGAAGGCAACAAGGCGAAGAGAGAGCAGACACAGAUCUGGCAGCAGCAGCAGUAUAUAGGUGUAUAUAGGAAUAUACUGAGGGGGCUGCAUGUCUCUGGUCCCUUAUUAGGGCCACACGUAUUUAUCCCUCGUCCAAUUCUGUACAAGGGCCACCAUCAUGGGGGCACAGUGGAUUUCAACUUACAAGGGGCCCGGGGAAGAAGAAUCUGCUGCUGUCGCUGGAGAAGGAUGAAGGAGCCGCUGGAUAAGAAGCCACCCUAGGGGAGUGAAGAAGUAUCUGCUGCUGAACUUUAGAGCCUUGAAUAUCUGGAGAAAGAAGUAUUUACUAACAACCUCACCGCCCAGUUCAACACUAGCAGCCGCUGACUGAUUGGACCUCACCACGGUGCUACCUCCUGUCUUCAUUCAGACCUCAGUGAUGCACAGACCUGGGACAUGUCUAUACUUUUCUGGGUUUGUGCCUUUAACAGACCAAUUAAAGGGGCGAUUCACCUUUAAGUUAACUUUUAGCAUGUUAUAGAAUGACUAAUUCUAAGCAAAUUUUCAAUUGGCCUU
Xenopus laevis (African clawed frog) is the source of this 703-nucleotide long non-coding RNA. RefSeq lists it as uncharacterized. The transcript is spliced from 3 exons. NCBI's taxonomy places the organism in Eukaryota, Metazoa, Chordata, Amphibia, Anura, Pipidae. The record is from RefSeq and is a predicted model, not a curated record.